Molecule: ribosomal RNA, 253 nt
Filed under: uncultured bacterium
Lineage: Bacteria
Description: partial 16S ribosomal RNA
Rfam family: Bacterial small subunit ribosomal RNA
Source: RNAcentral
UACGUAGAGUGCAGGCGUUAAUCGGAAUUACUGGGCGUAAAGCGUGCGCAGGCGGUUUCUUAAGUCAGAUGUGAAAGCCCCGGGCUUAACCUGGGAACUGCGUUUGAAACUGGGAGACUUGAGUGUGGCAGAGGGGGGUGGAAUUCCACGUGUAGCAGUGAAAUGCGUAGAUAUGUGGAGGAACACCGAUGGCGAAGGCAAUCCCCUGGGCCUGCACUGACGCUCAUGCACGAAAGCGUGGGGAGCAAACAGG